AACAUCUGCAUAAGUUGCAAAGAGAGUGACGCCGUUUGGGUCUUGACAAUCGCCCAGAAACUAUGACCUUUGAAAUAUCUGCGGAAAAUCCUAGUAUGUUUGAAGACAUUACAUGAGAAAGGCCUACCUCUGGCUGAGCAAUUUGUUAUACCUCAUCUUGCGGCCCAUCCUGCUCAUAAAAAUGCCUUUGAACGCCCUGUUCAGAGGCUGGUAUUUACAUUUUCAUGAUUCCUGUGCACCCUACGAGGCAAAUAAUGAGAAACUCACACAUCGCUUUCUGGAUGUGAUUCACCGCAAUUGGCAUUUGGGAUUUACCUCCUUUGGUGGCCCUCCAGUUCAUUUCAGAAUUUUCUACCAAAAAUUUGUCGAAGAUCAAAGAGGGAUAAUACCAUG
This 393-nucleotide small RNA is filed under the name Histoplasma capsulatum. Its description in RNAcentral is "hypothetical RNA". Lineage: Eukaryota; Fungi; Ascomycota; Eurotiomycetes; Onygenales; Ajellomycetaceae. RNAcentral also lists the same sequence under 1 other name. The record is from RNAcentral.